RNAcentral lists this ribosomal RNA (39 nucleotides) under Lodderomyces parapsilosis. RNAcentral's name for it is "Candida parapsilosis partial 28S ribosomal RNA". Lineage: Eukaryota; Fungi; Ascomycota; Pichiomycetes; Serinales; Debaryomycetaceae. The record is from RNAcentral. RNAcentral also lists the same sequence under 4 other names.
UUCGACCUCAAAUCAGGUAGGACUACCCGCUGAACUUAA